Molecule: RNA transcript, 5582 nt
Organism: Choloepus didactylus (southern two-toed sloth)
Lineage: Eukaryota; Metazoa; Chordata; Mammalia; Pilosa; Megalonychidae
Gene: ADAMTS7
Gene name: ADAM metallopeptidase with thrombospondin type 1 motif 7
Exons: 25
Source: RefSeq, a predicted model, not a curated record
UCGCGUUCUCUUGUCUUUUCUUUGCCUCCACCGCCAGCCGAGGGGGCGGGCCCUACAGCCUUUGUUGCCCGCGGACCGAGCGCAGCCGCCCGCCGGGCCGGAGUCGGGACCGCGACGCCGGGAGCCGCACGCGAGCUGGGCAUGUCCUGAGCCGGACCCGGGAUCGGGCAGCGACCGGACGGGAAGGACAAGAGUGUGCUCGUGGGGUCGCCCGGCCCUGGCCAUGCCCCGCGGCCGGAGCCCUGGCAGCCCCGCGCCGCUGCUGCGCCCCCUCCUCCUGCUCCUCUGCGCUCUGGCGCCCGGCGUCCGGGCACCCGCACCAGGGACUGCAUCCGAGGGCCGGGCAGCGCUGGACAUCGUGCACCCCGUGCGCGUGGACGCUGGCGGCUCCUUCCUGUCCUACGAGCUGUGGCCGCGCGCGCUGCGCAAACGGGACGUGUCCGCUCGGCGGGAUACACCCGCCUUCUACGAGCUACAGUACCUGGGGCGCGAGCUGCGCUUCAACCUGACCGUCAACCCGCACCUGCUGGCCCCGGGCUUUGUGUGCGAGACGCGGCGGCGCGGCGGCCUGAGCCGCGCGCACAUAAGUGCCUGUGGCCCCGCCUGCCACCUGCUCGGCGAGGUGCAGGACCCGGAGCUCGAGGGCGGCGUGGCGGCCAUCAGCGCCUGCGACGGCCUGAAAGGUGUGUUCCAGCUCUCCAAUGAGGACUACUUCAUUGAGCCUCUGGAUGGUGCCCCAGCCCAGCCUGGCCGGGCCCAGCCCCACAUGGUAUACAAGCGCCAAGUUCCAGAGAGGCAGGCAGAGCAGGGCGCCUCCAGGGCUCUGGGCACCUGUGGGGUACAAGAGUCCCCAGAGUUGGAGCUGCGGCGGGAGCACUGGGAGCAGCGGCAGCAGUGGUGGCCACGGCAGCGGCCCAGGCGUCUACACCAGCGGUCUGUCAGCAAGGAGAAGUGGGUGGAGACCCUGGUGGUCGCUGACACCAAGAUGGUGGAGUACCACGGGCAGCCACAUGUCGAGAACUACGUGCUGACCAUCAUGAACAUGGUGGCUGGCCUGUUUCAUGACCCCAGCAUCGGGAACCCCAUCCACAUCACCAUUGUGCGCCUAAUUCUGCUUGAAGAUGAGGAGGAGGACCUCAAGAUCACACACCAUGCAGACAACACCCUGAGGAGCUUCUGCAAGUGGCAGAAAAACAUCAACAUGAAGGAGGAUACCCACCCCCUGCACCACGACACCGCCAUCCUGCUCACCAGGCAGGACCUGUGUUCAGCCAUGAACCAGCCCUGCGAGACCCUGGGCCUGUCCCACGUGGCGGGCAUGUGCCAGCCCCACCGCAGCUGCAACAUCAACGAGGACACGGGCCUGCCCCUGGCCUUCACCGUGGCCCACGAGCUCGGGCACAGUUUUGGCAUUCAGCAUGACGGAAGCGGCAAUGACUGUGAGCCUGUUGGGAAACGGCCUUUCAUCAUGUCUCCACAGCUCCUGUACGACGCUGCUCCCCUCACCUGGUCCCGCUGCAGCCGCGAGUAUAUCACCAGGUUCCUCGACCGCGGGUGGGGCCUGUGCCUGGAUGACCCUCCUGCUGAGGACAUCAUCGACUUCCCCUCAGUGCCACCCGGGAUCCUCUAUGAUGUGAGCCACCAAUGCCGCCUCCAGUACGGGGCCCACUCCGCCUUCUGUGAUGACAUGGACAAUGUCUGCCACACACUCUGGUGCUCCGUGGGGACCACCUGCCACUCCAAGCUGGAUGCAGCCGUGGACGGUACCAAGUGUGGGGAGAAGAAGUGGUGUCUCAAUGGCGAGUGUGUCCCUGUGGGCUUCCGGCCCGAGGCUGUGGAUGGAGGCUGGUCCGGCUGGAGUGCCUGGUCUGUCUGCUCACGGAGCUGUGGCGUGGGCGUGCAGAGCGCCGAGCGGCAGUGCACACAACCUGUGCCCAAAUACAAGGGCAAAUACUGCGUGGGCGAACGGAAGCGCUUCCGGCUCUGCAACCUGCAGGCCUGUCCCCCUGGCCACCCCUCCUUCCGCCAGGUCCAGUGCAGCCACUUUGAUUCUAUGUUCUACAAGGGCCGACUGCACACGUGGGUACCCGUGGUCAGCGAUGUGAACCCCUGUGAGCUGCACUGCCGGCCCUCGAAUGAGUACUUUGCUGAGAAGCUGCGGGACGCCGUGGUCGACGGCACCCCGUGCUACCAGGGCCAGGCCAGCCGUGACCUCUGCAUCAACGGCAUCUGCAAGAACGUGGGCUGCGACUUUGAGAUUGACUCGGGUGCCGUGGAGGACCGCUGCGGCGUGUGCCAUGGCAACGGCUCCACCUGCCACACCGUGAGCAAGACCUUCGAGGAGGCUGAGGGCCUGGGGUACGUGGACGUGGGGCUGAUACCGGCCGGCGCUCGUGAGAUCCGCAUUGAGGAGGUGGCCGAGGCCGCCAACUUCCUGGCCCUGCGGAGCGAGGACCCGGAAAAGUACUUCCUCAACGGGGGCUGGACCAUCCAGUGGAACGGGGACUACCAGGUGGCGGGCACCACCUUCACGUACGCACGCACGGGCAACAGGGAGAACCUCACGUCCCCAGGGCCCACCGCAGAGCCUAUCUGGAUCCAGCUGCUGUUCCAGGAGAGCAACCCCGGGGUGCGGUACGAGUACACCAUCCACAGGGAGGUGGGUGACCACAGCGAGGUCCAGCCGCCUGAGUUCUCCUGGAACUAUGGGCCCUGGACCAAGUGCACAGUCACCUGUGGCACAGGCAUUCAGAGGCAGAGCGUGUUCUGUGCUGAGCGGCAGGCAGGGCCCGUGGACGAGAGGCACUGUGACGCCCUGAGCCGGCCCGAUGACCGUCAGAGGAGGUGCAGCGAGGAGCCCUGCCCGGCCCGGUGGUGGGCAGGUGAGUGGCAGCUGUGCUCGAGCUCCUGUGGGCCCAGGGGCCUCUCCCGCCGGACGGUGCUGUGCAUCCGCAGCGUGGGGCUGGACGAGCAGAGCGCCCUGGAGCCAGCUGCCUGUGAACACCUCGCCCGGCCGCCCACCGAAAGCCCUUGCAACCGCGAUGUGCCCUGCCCUGCCACCUGGGCUGUGGGGAACUGGUCUCUGUGCUCGGUGACAUGCGGGGCAGGCACUCAGCACCGGAUUGUCCUCUGCACCAACGACACUGCCCUCCCCUGCGACGAGGCCCAGCGACCAGCGACUGAGGCCCCCUGCCCUCUGCCGCCCUGCCUGCAGUUCUUGGACAUGCUGGGCCCAGAAGGCUCAGGCAGCGGCUCCCCCAGCAACCACCUCUUCAGUGAGGUCAACUUCACCCCCCGGCACACGGCCCCACACCCUUCACCCACCUCCUCAGCCGAGCUGACGAGCCUGGGCAAUGCUAUCACGGAGGACGACCUGGCGCUGGGCCCACCAGGGCCCGUGUUCAUUGACGACUUCUACUAUGACUACAAUUUCAUUAACUUCCAUGAGGACCUGUCCUAUGAGCCCCUCCAGGAGCCGGAGCCAGGCACAGUGGACGUGGGGAUUUGGGCUCCCCCAGGCAGUCCUGCUGAGACCCCCACGGGCACCCCCAGGCCUGCCACAGGGCCACCUGGGGCUGAGGAGGAGAGGGUCCUGGGAGAUUGGUCCCCUGCCCCCAGCCAGGCUGCCCACUCCCCAGCCCCAGCCUCAGAGCAGGCCCCUGGGAACCCCUUGAUCAACUUCUUGUCUGAGGAAAAUACCCCCACUGAGAUCCCAGACCUUGGGCUCCCCAGCUUGCCUUGGUCCCCUGCUUCUGUGGGUGGCUUGGAGACACCCGCUGCCCCCAGGAGCCAGGAGGAGCCCCUGGGAGGGGAGGAGAGCCAGGCUGAGCCCCCACCAUGGUGGGAGAGGACCAAUGAGGUUUCUGAGGAUGAUGAGGAGGCCUUAGACCGCAGAGCACCCCACUUGCCCCAGAGACCCAGCCCCAUGCUGCCUCCCUUGUCCUCCAUCAGCCCCACCCACCCCUCUCCUAGCCCUGGUGUGGUGGAGCCGUGGCUGGGAGGUGCCAUGGCCUGGGACCCAGCUCUGCAGGGGGGCCUGGGGCCUGUGGGAAGUGAGCCAUGGCCCACUGUGGGGCCAGGGACUCCCAGCUUUUCAGCCUCAGGACCGGCCCUGCGGGGUCUGCAGAUUUCAGCAGUGCCUGGGACCUUCCCCCCACCCUUUCUGGCUGGCCUAGUGCACACACCUUGGGUGACUACCCUGAGCCCAGGACCCUCGAGCUGGCCUGAGCCCCCCAUCCCUGAGGUGCCCCUGAGUUCUGUGCUGCUGCCCUCGCCAGCUCAGGAGAGUCCCGCCAGCAGCAGCAGAGCCCCCGAGGCCCAGCUUCCGGACUCCAGCCCGGCUGAGGAGGGGCCCCCCGUGGACCUGCCGGCUGCCAGGAAGCCCAGCUGGGAAGUGGGAAACUGGAGCCAGUGCUCCACCACCUGUGGUCUGGGUGCCGCCUGGAGGCCCGUGCACUGCAGCUCUGGCCGUGAGGAAGACUGUCCCCCCGCUGGCCGACCCCAGCCCGCCCGCCGCUGCCACCUGCGGCCCUGUGCCACCUGGCACACUGGCAACUGGAGCAAGUGCUCCCGCAGCUGUGGCGGGGGCUCCUCGGUGCGGGACGUGCAGUGCGUGGACAUGCGGGACCUGCGGCUGCUGCGGCCCUUCCACUGCCAGCCUGGGCCUGCCAAGCCACCCGCCCGCCGGCCCUGCGGGGCUCAGCCCUGCCUCAGCUGGUACAUCUCCUCCUGGAGGGAGUGCUCCGAGGCCUGCGGUGGUGGCGAACAGCAGCGUCUGGUGACCUGCCCGGAGCCAGGCCUCUGCGAGGAGGCGCUGAGACCCAACGCCACACAGCCCUGCAACACCCACCCCUGCACACAGUGGGUGGUGGGGCCCUGGGGCCAGUGCUCAGCCCCCUGCGGCGGUGGCGUCCAGCGGCGCCUGGUCAAGUGCGUCAACACCCAGACAGGACUGCCUGAGGAAGACAACGACCUGUGCAGCCACGAGGCCUGGCCCGAGAGCUCCCAGGCGUGCGGCACCCAGGACUGUGAGCUCACUGAGCCUCCGCGCUGCGAGCGGGAUCGCCUGUCCUUCGGGUUCUGCGAGACGCUGCGCCUGCUAGGACGCUGCCAGCUGCCCACCGUCCGCACGCAAUGCUGCCGCUCCUGCCCCCCGCCCGGCCGCGGCGCCCCCUCUCGCGGCCACCAGCGGGUCUCCCGCCGCUGACGCGCGCCCCGGCUCGCGGCCGGCCCACGACCCACAGGCAGACCGACAGACGCACAGACCUCAGCGCCCCACGACAGGCUGCGGCGGAGACCCGCCCCUCGCGCCCUAAUGGUGCUAAAGCCCCAGUCUCCCCUGCCCAGCGCGCAGGCUGGGACACCCUACCCCCACACCUAGAAAAGCACCGCCUGACUGCAUCUUGGAUUUGGGGAAUUUCAAGUCAAACUCCUCCCCUCACUCCUCCAUCCACUGCCUGAAGUUCCACCAUUCAAGCCCCAGCAGAUGUCUGUGCUCCUCUGGGUGCAGAUUAGCAGGGGAGACGGGAACAGACUAACCCACCCAGAGAGAGUGGGAGUCUGAAGGGAAAGCUGGUUUCCGA